AUGUCAGACAGUGUCUGCUCUGGACACCUUCAGUAACACACAUGGGUGGGAGACAGUUUAUAAGUGGAAGAGUGUGGGGAUUUUCAUUAUUCCUUUGAAGUAGGAAGGCUUGAUCAAUGGCUUGACCCUAGCCAUUGAAAAGACUGGAACAGAGCUGAGUGCCUAUUUCAUGUCUGAUAUUUCUCUCCUCCGACCGGAUAAAAAGGAAUAGCGAGAAAAUACAGUCAUGACACUUUACCUCAGUAAAUCUGUAAGGCAAAAUUAUUCACAUUUGGGCAUUUAAUGCUCCACAGCAGGAGCAGUCCAGGAAACUUUAAAGCUCUGAAAACCACCACGUUUUCUCUAAUAUGAAUUUCACCUAUUUUAUUUAGUGAUUCUUGACUAGUUACAAAGCUCAUAGCUACCAUAUAUACCUCCAUAAGAAUGCAGCUACUUUUCUGUCCUGGCCCCUUAGAUAUUUCCCCUCAACCAACAUUCAUGAGUUUUUUCUAGGAUUUUGUUUAAUAAAAUUUUCCUUCUUCCUACAACAUCAAAGCUAUCUAUUUUUUAGGUCACCUGGUGUCUCAAGGGCUCACUACUAGUUUCUUCCUGUCUGAUUGCCUAAACCUCCUGCAGCCAUCUCUGCCCACUAACCACUGUUAAAGAGCAAGUGGGGGUUGCAGAAGAUCUGACACCUCAGCAACUAUUUUGUUUGUUCUCAAAGACUGACUACUAUCUUUCAUUCAUCACCCAAAGAUAAUUACACACAUUUACCAGCCAAAAGAGCACUGCUACAUAAAUACAAGUGCUGGCAUUACACAGAUUGUUACAUCUAUUCAAGAUGGAUACCCUUUCCCUGUUGUCUUCUGCAAGUCUUUCUUUCACUUCAGGCCUUGAUUCCUUCUUCCCUACAGGAGGAUAUUUCUCCCUGUGCUCUCUUUUCACAACAGUAUUGCACUUCCCAAGAGGUUAUAGAUUUAUUUGGCAACAUCAGGCUUUUCUACUCCAUCUUUCCCACAAGUUCCUUACACCUAGAGCUCAGUCAGCCUGCUGCGACUUUCACUUCAGUCCACUUAGCUCACUUCUACUUCCCAUACAUCUGCUUGAGAAGUGCUGAGUAGCAUAACUUGCUCAAGCCUCUCACUUUUGCACUCAUGCAGCUUUGGAGGCCUCAUCCCAAGACACAUCCCCCUGCAGUGAAAUACCCACUUAUUUAUUCUCACAUGCGGCAGAUUCAUCCCCUGGGGAAAAAAAGGGAAAAGGUUUGCUUCAUCUAGAGACCUUACAGGCUCAGCUGAUCCCUUGGUAGAGGAAGACAUGUAGAAUAUGUAUUGCUGCCAUAAAUUGCAGGUAGUGAAAAGAAAAAGAACCCUGUGGAGAUAUCUGAAAUCUAAUCUCAGACCGGCAGCAAUCUAAAAUAAACUACAGCUGGUGUUUCAGCUUUGAUUCUGCUUCCACCAAAGGCAAAUGGCAUAAUUCCCAUUGAUUCCAAUUAAAUCAUAGACUAGGUCCUCUUCUUACUCAUCUUUCUUUUUUUGAUGCCUCUAUCUACUUUUUAGUUGUAAAUUUCUCUGCAGUACUGCAAUACUCUCAGCACCAUAAAAAAAAUCUGAGAAGUCCAUACAAGCGCAAAUCCUGGUACUAUUUUUUUUAAUAAGAAAACAGGGAAGAUUUUUAACUCUCCUAAUUAAUGUCAUGAAAGGAAAAGCAGCAUGGUUUUGUGCUAAUGGUUUAGUUUGUUUCAGUUAGGGCUAGAAUCUUUCCUAAGAACCAACAUACCUUCUGUACAUCUCUACACUUCAGAAAAAAGUACCCUCUUAUGACAGUAAAUAUAUAAAUGCGAGAAUGCAACUGUUAACCAUUUUGCAGCAGGUGUUAAAGACUUCUGCAUCUAGCUUGCAUGACCUUGAUAUGCCUUCUCUGAAAGCAGAACAUGCACACACUUGUUUUUAGGCUGCAAUCACACACGUGUACAGAGGCAGCUGUGGUGCUGCGCAACAUCCCUGCAUUUGUGCUGCCAUUCUUGUGGAAGUUGCACUGCCACAAGUUAUGCAGCUUUUUGCUUCUCUCACUGUUCUUACAAGGACAGCCAGAGGGUCUCCUGGUUUCCACUUCAAUGGUGACACAGAGCAUGACACUGAAUCUAUGCUGUGGGCAGUUCAGCUGCAGCUGUUUUGAGACACUUGCAGGCAAAGUUUCGGGAUUGUCAGCUCCCGCAUUUUACUGGGCUCCUUGUCCUCUUUCCUGGAGGUCUGCCCUUGAAAGUCUGGCCUUCAUGGUUGCAGAGAAAAGCCUGGAAACACAGAAUCUUACAAUAUUUUUAAGUGUGACUCAUGACUUUUUGCCAUGAAGGGCACAUACGAU
This is a long non-coding RNA of Taeniopygia guttata (zebra finch), 2343 nucleotides long. The record is from Ensembl. NCBI's taxonomy places the organism in Eukaryota, Metazoa, Chordata, Aves, Passeriformes, Estrildidae.